This 190-nucleotide small nucleolar RNA is filed under the name Myotis brandtii (Brandt's bat). Its description in RNAcentral is "Small nucleolar RNA SNORA73 family". It matches the Rfam family "Small nucleolar RNA SNORA73 family", at positions 65 to 219 of the family's 219-position model. From Rfam's summary of the family: U17 (SNORA73A and SNORA73B) also known as E1 belongs to the H/ACA class of small nucleolar RNAs (snoRNAs). Vertebrate U17 is intron-encoded and ranges in length from 200-230 nucleotides, longer than most snoRNAs. Lineage: Eukaryota; Metazoa; Chordata; Mammalia; Chiroptera; Vespertilionidae. The record is from Rfam by way of RNAcentral.
CUUAUGAUACUAGUUGGCUUGUUAAACUAGGGCUUAAAACGUUUAAGCUGGGGCUCUGCCCCGUGAUGUACAGUCCCUUUCCACAACGUUGGAGAGAAAGCCAGGCCUUGAGUCUGCGCCUGCAUAUUCCUACAACUUCUCAGAGUCCUGUGGGCAAUGACUGAGGAGACAAACAAACAAACAAACAAAC